Molecule: long non-coding RNA, 338 nt
Filed under: Callithrix jacchus (white-tufted-ear marmoset)
Lineage: Eukaryota; Metazoa; Chordata; Mammalia; Primates; Cebidae
Description: lncRNA (ENSCJAG00000070037.1)
Source: RNAcentral
UAACUGUUGGGGAUUUAUAAAGAUCUUUUUACCUUAACUCCUGGAGCCCAUUUAGACCAAGGAAAUACCUCCCCAUUAGCAAGGGGAUAAUGCAGUAAGAAGGCCCUUACCAGACCCUGAUACCUCAACGUUGGAUUUCCCAGUCUCCAGAACGCUGGAAUCCAGAGAGACUGUCUUUGAAUUCCUCAGGCUAGUCCACCCCUGCAAGGUAACCAUCCUCCCCUCUGGUUGUAGCAGGCAAAUUCUGCCCUCAGUUUAUUUCCUUCUUCCUACCACCUUGAAUCUCACUUUCCUUUCUCUUUCCCAUUCUACCUACAUCAUGGUAUUUUUCUUUUUUC